AAGAAAUUAGUUUAAAAAAAACAUUAAUUUGUCAAAUUAAAAUUAUCUUUUUUUAUUUCUUU
RNAcentral lists this transfer RNA (62 nucleotides) under Henschiella sp. PJ-2015. RNAcentral's name for it is "tRNA-Asp". The record is from RNAcentral. Lineage: Eukaryota; Metazoa; Arthropoda; Insecta; Hemiptera; Enicocephalidae.